Molecule: ribosomal RNA, 254 nt
Filed under: uncultured bacterium
Lineage: Bacteria
Description: partial 16S ribosomal RNA
Rfam family: Bacterial small subunit ribosomal RNA
Source: RNAcentral
UACGUAGGUGGCAAGCGUUUGUCCGGAAUUAUUGGGCGUAAAGCGCGCGCAGGCGGUCCCUUAAGUCUGAUGUGAAAGCCCACGGCUCAACCGUGGAGGGUCAUUGGAAACUGGGGGACUUGAGUGCAGAAGAGAAGAGUGGAAUUCCACGUGUAGCGGUGAAAUGCGUAGAGAUGUGGAGGAACACCAGUGGCGAAGGCGACUCUUUGGUCUGUAACUGACGCUGAGGCGCGAAAGCGUGGGGAGCAAACAGG